RNAcentral lists this unclassified non-coding RNA (1542 nucleotides) under Hevea brasiliensis (rubber tree). Lineage: Eukaryota; Viridiplantae; Streptophyta; Magnoliopsida; Malpighiales; Euphorbiaceae. The record is from RNAcentral.
UAUACUCUGCCUUAGCAGAUGAUUUUGAAAUUGUGUUCUGCUUUUUAGUCUUCCAACUAACCAAAGCACCUCCCAAGAAAAUACAGAACCAUGUAAGAGAUUUGCGAGAAAAAGGAUAAGAAGCCCAGUUAGCAUCACAAUAUGCUGAAAGCUAAAGAUCAUACUGACUAGGAGAAUAAAAGCCUUUAGAGGGACAAGUCUUCAAGUAGCAAAGCAAAUGAGUUGCUGCAUCCCAAUGAGGUUUUCUAGGGGUAGCCAUGAACCGGCUCAAGUUCUGAACAGAAUAACUGAUGUCUAGUCUAAUAAUGUUGAUGUAAAGGAGUCUGCCUAUAAGCUUGCGAUAUCUAUUAGGAUCAAAAAGAGGCUUACCAACAUUUGGAGCUAAGUGCAGGCCUUUAGGAAGUGGGAAAAAUGUAGGCUUAGAAUGCUGCAUCCCAGUUUCCUUCAAAACAUCCAUGAAAAUUUUCCUUUGACUCACAAAAGUGCCUAUUUCAAAUCUAGCAACUUCCAAUCCAAGGAAAUAUUUAAGAUAUCCCUAGUUUUUAAUAGUAAACUUGGCAUGUAAAGCUUGUUUAACCUGCUGCAUAGAAUCAACAUGAGUACCAGUAAGAAUGACAUCAUCUACAUACAUCAAUAACACCAAAAACUCAUCACCAAUACUCUGUGUGAAAAGGCGCUGAUCAUGAGCUGAUUGUGAGAACCCAAAAGCCUACAAAAAAGAAGUAAACUCCAAAUUCCACUGCCUUGAUGCCUGCUUCAAACCAUAAAGAGAUUUUUUUAAUAAGCAAACUUGCCCUGGCAAUGCCUUAUCAUAACCUACAGGAGGCUGCAUGUACACCUCUUCAUUAAGAAAGCCAUGAAGAAAUGCAUUGUUAAUAUCCAUUUGAAAAAUAGGCCAUUGUCUUGUUGUUGCUAAAGCAAUGAACACCCUUACAGUAACUAUUUUAGCCACAGGACUGAAUCUAUCAUUAUAAUCCAAACCCUCAAUUUGGUUGUAACCUUUUGCAACUAAAUGAGCCUUGUAUCUAUCUAUCUCUCCAUUAGGGUGAAAUUUCACCUUAAAAACCCAUUUAGAACCAAUGGCUUUCUUACCCUUAGGUAAAUCAGUAAGUAACCAUUUACCAUUCUUUUCAAGAGCAAGUAACUCUUGAUUCAUUGCCUCAACCCAAUUAGGAUUAGUUAAAGCUUGAAGAUAAGUUUGUGGUUCUUGAACAGCAGACACUAUUAUGUAUGUGAAAUGAUGAGGGGAAAAGAUAGGCUUAGAAUUACAUAUAAAAGUAGAGUUGACUGAAGCAUUAGUAGCAAAAUCUUGUAACCAAAGAGGCUUUUGAUGAUUUCUAAUACUUCUUCUAAGGACGGGUACAGGAGAUAGAUUUGACUCUGAAAGAGAAGAAAGGAAGAGGAGAAUUGUGUGAUAAGAAACUAGCUGAAUUGGGGAGCUGCCUGUUAGAAACAAUAUGUGAAGGUAGAGACUCACAAGACUGAGAAGGAAUAUCUAAAGAUGGAGAAUCAACAGGUAGAGGCAAAACAAUAUCAUGAAGA